AAGUUUAGGUUAAACAAACCGCAGACCUUCAAAGUCUAAAAUAAGAACUACCUCACUUAACUUCU
This 65-nucleotide transfer RNA is filed under the name Cyrtodactylus tiomanensis. RNAcentral's name for it is "tRNA-Trp". Lineage: Eukaryota; Metazoa; Chordata; Lepidosauria; Squamata; Gekkonidae. The record is from RNAcentral.